Heterocephalus glaber (naked mole-rat) is the source of this 1788-nucleotide non-coding RNA. NCBI's taxonomy places the organism in Eukaryota, Metazoa, Chordata, Mammalia, Rodentia, Bathyergidae. The record is from RefSeq and is a predicted model, not a curated record.
UCCCGUCGUGCGGGCCAGCUCCGACCCCUGCGGGUCGGAGCCCCCGAGGCCGCGGGCAAGGUUCAGGCCUAGCAGCGGCCCUGGAGAGCGGUUCCGGGGGCCCGGGCCAGCUGCCUUCCUCCCCCGCCCCUCCCUCAGCGCGGGCCGGAGCCCAGCGCCUGGCCGGACGGAGGGAGCAAGGGGCCUGGAGUCCCUUUCGCGCCGGAGCGAGGAGGACCGCGCGAAAUCUGGAACACUUCCCCAAAAAUGGUCCGGGGAAAGAAGUCUCUGUGUCCCUGCAUACCUCGAUUAUUCCACUCCCAAUACCGGAUCCCCUCUUGGGAGCUACAGGUAGUGCUGUGGACAGAGUUGGCUCUUUUCCCACCAUCACUUGAGGCCAACCCAGGCUUCUCACAAGAUGAGGGCUGCGCGUGUGGCUGUCUGCAGGUGAGGUUAAUCCCGAAUCUUAGAGAUCUUCCAUCUCCAGAGUUGGGAUGGAAACAUACGCCAAACUGCACCUUUAUAUAUUAGAGAAAAAGGCGGAGCAGGUUUGCUUUUUCUAUAGACAGCCAAGAAUCUGCUGCGAUGCCUGUAAAACUUCAAAGUCUUUUGGAGUUGGAAGUGCUUCCAGAACACAGUUGAUUUCUUCUGAAAGCUGAAAGCGCGGGCAUUCUACACUUCACAUCAAACAGUAAAAAAAAGUCAUGAAAGUCGAGUUCCUUUAUGACGAUGUGGUUUUAUACACAGAUACAUGUGUAAGGGAAUGGUUGUGAAAGAAAACAGUGGUAUGCCUUUUUGGGGACCCUGUAAGCAAAAGCUUAAAACCUUUACCAUCUCGUGUGAGAGAGAGAUGUACCUGUAACAGUUAACUGAAAGAUUAGAACAUUGUGCAACCCAGCGUCUGUGAUGAUGGAAAUGUUCUCCAGUUGAGCGGCUGAAAUGUGGCUAGUGCCACUGAAGAACUGAAAUUUAAACUUUUAGUAUUUGGGUCCUUUGCUUAACAUAUAGACAGAUUAUUGCUUUUCAUUGCUAGCAGCAUGAAAGCCAGCAUAGGAAGAUAAGCCAUACCUGAGGGACAGAAGCAGCACUUGAGAAGAUCCUAGGUGCUCAUUGACUUAUGAUGGGGUUACAGCCCUAUAAACACAAUGAUGUUUCCUGAAUUUGGUGGCAUCUUAUAGUCAUGGUCUGUCAGGCAGUUCUUGUGACAUAUUUUCAUUGCUGCAUGCAUAAACAUGAAGAUGGAUAUCAGCAGCUUGGAGGAAAAUAUAGGAGGUAGUAGAAGAGCACUUCAAGAGAUACUUGAGUAAUAAAUAUCUCCAAUAUGUUAUAUCAUAAAAACCCAGUAAUGAUUAUAAGUAAAAAAAAAUGAUUUGGAAGUGUUAGUCUUCGUGAGAAAUUUUAGAAAUUUCUAAACCUUUUCUUUGGUUUUGUCAUGAAAUGUGUAUACAAGAAUAAAAUAAAAAUGUCUAAAAUCUAGAAAUACUUCUUUUAAUAAAAAUUAAAAUUUAAUAAAGUACAUACUAGUUAAUUGCUGGAUUUUUUUCAUUUUUCUUUGUGAUAUGGAAAAUAAUAAUUCUUACAAUUGAUAGUUAGAUUCAAUGAAAUAGAGCAGUGAAAUCGACCACCCCAUCUCCACCAUCUGUUUCCAAAAUAUAUUUUUAUGAUUGAAGAAAUACUAUUUAUUGAUCCCUGGCAAGCUUCUUUUGUAUUUGAGCUAUAAUACUUUAGGGUAUUUCAGGUUUUCUUGGCAGUAGCAAAUCUUAAAUAAUUUUUGAAUUAAUGGUAUUUAUUAACAACAUCUCCAUUACU